GGCUUAUAUAAACAGGGCCACAUCGGGCUCUCCCUCUCCUCUCGUCCUUUCAUCACUUAACUGUAAUAAAGGCUUGUUGCGGAAGGAUCCUUGUGCCCGCAUGCGUUUCUGCCGGCGAGACAAUCACGCUGCUUCCAACAUCUGGUGCUGAAACUCGGGAGGCAGGGAGCCUGCCACUGCCCGUGCUGCAAAGGAGAGCCCCCGUUCGCGGGGAGGAUUCAGAACCGCAACAUUAAGGGCCCGGUGUCCUCAGACCCCUUGACCUGAGCCUGACACAAACUCUCCUGUCCUCCCAGCCAGCUGCACAUGGAGAUACUCUGAGUCCAUCCUACACUCAUGGAAGCCGAGGAACAGAGGCUCUGGCCUGUUGCAGAAGGAUCCUUGUGUCCGUGUGCGUUCUUGCUGGCGAGACGAUCAUGCGGCUUUCAACAUCUGGUGCCGAAACCCGGGAACGAACCACCCGGAAAGCAGGGAGCCUGCCACCGCCGGUAUCGAGGAGAGCCCCCAUUUGCGGGAAGGAUUCAGAACUGCAACAUCGAGGUUAAUCCUGAGAGGCAUAAAACAAUCCAUUCUGGGUACCAGAGCGCCUCACGUGAAAGCUCGUGACAGCUGAAGAUGAUCUUUCAACAAAUACACCUGCUACUACUUGAAGAAUUAAGGGCGGCGAUGGUGACCACUAAUUCUACUCGAGUGGAUUCAUCGCUCACAGAUGGCUUAUUAUCCUGGGUUUCUUCCGUCUUUUCUUAUUUUAAAGAUUGGGUGGGGGUUGGAAUGUUUGGUGCAGCAUUAUGUUGUGGCUUAGUGUUUUUACUCUGGUUGUUCUGCAAACUCAAAACCCAACACAAACAAGUGUUUGUGUUUGACAAGGUGGUGAUGGCACAAGCACUAGCAGCCCUAGAGCAAGGCUUGUCUCCCAAGGUUUGGCUUUCCAUGUUAAAAGAAUGAUAAACAGCAAGGUUACCUCUGCCUUUGUAGUUGUAGUGCCACAAAAUUGGAUGAGACUGGAUUAGCAGCCCUUGCACUCCCGGGGACAUGUUCCCAUUGCACGGGGAUGGGUGUGAUUCCAUGUUGUCUCCUCAUGAGUAUAAAAAUCAAACGGUCUGGAAAGUCAGUGACUGAAGAGUGCAAAUAAGUCUCCGCCCACCUAAGACAGGACAGCCUCGCUGUGAGGAGGUUGCUCCAAUGACGGGUAAGGGCUGAGCAAUGCCUUCCACCAGACUCAGACAUUGGUUAUGCUCUCAAAUAAAUUGGCACAGCACCUCGUCGGCAGAAGGGGACUUGCUAUAUUUAAAACAAAAGGGGGAGAUGUGGUGAGCUGAGACUCAGGCGCCAUCUAGUGGAGCAGACAUCCGCCCUCAGAACUGUAAAGACCUCCAGGACGCAUGUGCGGGUUGCAAAAGCGCGCCAAGCCACUGCCCAGGGGUGAAGAGUGAGCAGCCAAUCAGGGUAUGACACGUCACUUAGGUGCAACCAGGGCUUAUAUAAACAGCGACACUUUGGGGCUAACUCCUCCAUCUCUCCCCGCCCGGGGGUUGCCCGCCGUGGCGUCUGUUGGCCGAUGCGAGCGCCGCCCGCGCCCGCGAGGUGGCCGGGCCUGUGCCGUGGCUGCGCUGCCGCCCCGAGCUUUGUGGGGGCAGUCCCGAGGCUCUCUCCUCCUUUCAUCUCUUGACUGUAAUAAAGCCUGUUGCAGAAGGAUCCUUGUGUCCGCGUGCGUUCUUGUUGGCGAGCCGAUCACACGGCUUUCAACAGUCCUUGCCUCUCUCCCUGUGACUUCUGUCCUGAUGUAAUCUUCAGCUCUCCAAGAGCCCCAUAUGGGGUGUAUGGGAGCAGGGUCAGGAGAGACUGUGAGAUGGAAUUCUGGGAGAAAGACAUUUAUUAAAAGUGUUAUUGACUCCAGGACACACAGGGUACAGCACAGUCAUGCUCACAUGUUCACAUACAAACAGGAUGACGUAGGUCCAAGGACAGGAAAUCAGAGCCCACAUGGCAGAAAUCGGGUUCUCUUCUUCUAUCUGUCCAAGGACGGAUGUUCCCAGCACCAUCCUGCAGGCAUGUGCUCUGAUUCCCAGGCAGGAGGCAGAGAAGUGGGUGGGAAGCAGGGUGUGAGGCCAUCAGUCACUACUGUGAUGUCAGCUCCCCUCCCUAGUGAGAGAUCCUGUCACCUGGAGGUCUGUUAGUUAAGGUCUCCCCAACAAGGUCUCCCCAGGCACCUGUGUGUGACCCUGAGAGGGAGUCAUUUUCCAGAGUCACUGUUCACUUUGUACUAUUUGGGUCCCCAGGAAGUAAACUUAGGUCAGCAGGCUGGUGGCAGACUCCUCUUCCCCCUGAGCUAUCUCACUGACUCAUGAUAUUUUAUGUCCAUUCAUUUAUAAUUUCAAAAUCCAUAAUUGAAAUAAAUUUAGAAAAAUGUUACAUCCAUGAUUCAUCACCAAAGGAAUCCACAUGUUUUUAAAGACAUGGACUCUUGCUGACCUGGAACUCACCAGUUAGUUCAGCAUAGCUGGACAUCCAGCCCCAAGACUCUCCAUGUCUCUUGCUUGUUUAGGGCUGGAAUUACAAGUUCCUGCCCACCUCUGGCUUAUAAUGUGGUUGCUCAGGGUCUGACUAUGGUCCUCCUACCCAUGAGCAAUGCUUCUCUGACUGGACCAUCUCUCUGAGUCCAUUCUCUCAUGUUCUUUUUUCCACAGAAACAUUCUCUCCUGUGCCUAAUCGCCAGACUACCUCUGGUCAUGAUGCCACAGGAACCAGGGACAACAGCCUAGGUGGUGGACUGACUAGUCGUCACUGUCCUUUUGAUUUGUACAUAUAUAUAGCUUAUAAUUUCUCAGAUCUCUGAUCACAUUGAUGGCUAAGCUAGGCUAAUGAUAGCUUUGCUGCUAAAUGCAGACAAUUAGAUCCACUGUAAGUUCAUCAGUCUAUUCAUUAGCUAGUUAGAACUACUAAGUACUAGAUCUUUUAUUUAGAAAAGUAAAGAAGGUUGCCUUGGGCACAAGCUUCAUAUUAAUUGCCUAUGUCUUUGAGUGAAAAACUGCACAGAAAAAUGCAAAGUUUAUGUAAAGUAGGAGGAUAUGAAAGUUUAAGUUAUGAGGAUAUAAAAAAUUGUUUAAUGGUCUAGGAAAAUGUUUCAAAGUUGAUAAGUUCAAGAAAGAUUGGAGGGUCUAAAAAGGUGUUUUAAGGUAUGUGAAUGUAAAUUGUAGUGAUAUAAAAGAAUUGGGAGAUAUAUCAGAUUCUCCCUCCCGUCUGCUAUUGUUGUGCUUAUCAUAUAAGAUUUCAGAAGUUCAGAGUUAGGACAUGGAUCAAUAGAGUUCUGAUGAGUUGAUGGAGCACUGAGUGGUUAUUAUUAAGUCACAAGCUUGAGAUCUUAAUUUCCUUUUGAUUGUCUUCUGGAGAUAAACUUAUAGGUGCCUCUCAUCAUGCUAAACACAUCUGUCUAAUGUGUGUUUAUCUGACCCAAAAGCUGUAGCUCUUAUGAAAUCUUAAUGGCAUGAAUCUACUCCUGCUGUCUCAUAGACACCUGUUAACUGCUCUUUCUAAAGUAUGGAUCUUGAUACAAUGGUGAUACAAUAUACUUUCUUUAGGAAACUAAAAUUGAUAAGAGUUUCAGAAAAUCAAAAACUCAGAAGACCUGGAUCUGGCAUAGCUCAAACAGACCCCAGAUGAGUUUUUCCCUUUGUCUUGGGAUUCCUCACUUUUCCUAAUUACUAGACAAAUUUUAACUUGUAUCUCUAGUCUGAAUUUUUCUCAGAAGAUGUUCACCUGGCUGACAGAAUCUAUUUGGGGAUCAGAUAUGGACUGCAAGCUGAAAUAUGGACUUGCUGU
This is a long non-coding RNA of Meriones unguiculatus (Mongolian gerbil), 3819 nucleotides long. RefSeq lists it as uncharacterized. Lineage: Eukaryota; Metazoa; Chordata; Mammalia; Rodentia; Muridae. The record is from RefSeq and is a predicted model, not a curated record. The transcript is spliced from 4 exons.